UCUCCGUUGGUGAACCAGCGGAGGGAUCAUUACCGAGUUUACAACUCCCAGACCCAAUGUGAACGUUACCAAACUGUUGCCUCGGCGGGGUCACGCCCCGGGUGCGUCGCAGCCCCGGAACCAGGCGCCCGCCGGAGGAACCAACCAAACUCUUUCUGUAGUCCCCUCGCGGACGUUAUUUCUUACAGCUCUGAGCAAAAAUUCAAAAUGAAUCAAAACUUUCAACAACGGAUCUCUUGGUUCUG
RNAcentral lists this unclassified non-coding RNA (245 nucleotides) under plant metagenome. Its description in RNAcentral is "partial contains small subunit ribosomal RNA, internal transcribed spacer 1, and 5.8S ribosomal RNA". The record is from RNAcentral.